This 497-nucleotide ribosomal RNA is filed under the name uncultured bacterium. Its description in RNAcentral is "partial 16S ribosomal RNA". It matches the Rfam family "Bacterial small subunit ribosomal RNA", at positions 28 to 507 of the family's 1533-position model. The record is from RNAcentral.
GAUGAACGCUGGCGGCGUGCCUAAUACAUGCAAGUCGAGCGAACAGACGAGGAGCUUGCUCCUCUGACGUUAGCGGCGGACGGGUGAGUAACACGUGGAUAACCUACCUAUAAGACUGGGAUAACUUCGGGAAACCGGAGCUAAUACCGGAUAAUAUAUUGAACCGCAUGGUUCAAUAGUGAAAGACGGUUUUGCUGUCACUUAUAGAUGGAUCCGCGCCGCAUUAGCUAGUUGGUAAGGUAACGGCUUACCAAGGCAACGAUGCGUAGCCGACCUGAGAGGGUGAUCGGCCACACUGGAACUGAGACACAGUCCAGACUCCUACGGGAGGCAGCAGUAGGGAAUCUUCCGCAAUGGGCGAAAGCCUGACGGAGCAACGCCGCGUGAGUGAUGAAGGUCUUCGGAUCGUAAAACUCUGUUAUUAGGGAAGAACAAAUGUGUAAGUAACUACGCACGUCUUGACGGUACCUAAUCAGAAAGCCACGGCUAACUACGUG